GCCGAACCCCGCGGCCGCCACCCACCUUUGCAGUUGAAGCCUGUGGGGUUGUGGUAAUCCAGGGCCGUGAGCUUGCGUCGGAACAUGGUCCCCGCUGCUCGCGCUGGCCGCCCGGGCCUCCGCCGGGACAGGAGAAGCGAGGUGAGGCGGGCGGCGCAGGCACCGGCGACGCGGCGAGGGGGCGGGGCGAUGACCGACGCUCCGGACGGACGGCAGACGGAGCCAAUCGCGGCUUAGAAACGCCCUCAGCCCGUAAGAACUCGCCAAUCACCGCUACUGCUGAGGAGGCGGGGCCACGUCGGGGCACGUCGACGCUCAAAUAAACUUUAUUGUCAGCUUCCUAUUUGUACAAUGGACCGAAAGCAAGGCGGAAGCCGAGAUUAGUGGAUCUAACUCCUUUUCUUGCUACAGUAGGCAAAACCAAAACCCCAAACCAAACCAAAUAAACAAA
This 451-nucleotide long non-coding RNA is filed under the name Rattus norvegicus (Norway rat). RNAcentral describes it as "long non-coding RNA NONRATT010738". Lineage: Eukaryota; Metazoa; Chordata; Mammalia; Rodentia; Muridae. The record is from RNAcentral.